Long non-coding RNA from Gopherus flavomarginatus (Mexican gopher tortoise), 2211 nucleotides. RefSeq lists it as uncharacterized. The transcript is spliced from 3 exons. The record is from RefSeq and is a predicted model, not a curated record. Lineage: Eukaryota; Metazoa; Chordata; Testudines; Testudinidae.
CCCCAAGCACGCCACAUUCCUCCUCCUCACCCCUCCCUCCCAGGCUUGCGCUAAUCAGCUGUAUGGCGGCACAAGCGCUGGAGGGAGGGGGGAGAAGCAGGAUGCGGCGGCCAGCUCAGGUACUGUCCGGUUUGGCCAAUGUACAUAGCAGAGGGGCAUUGCUGGCACAUGAUGGCAUAUAUCACAUUAGUAGACGUGCAGCUCUACUCGAUGAGCCCUUUUGCCUGGUCACAGAAGGCAGCCAUGUGGCUCCAGUGCUCUGGGACACAAAAGUGGGUGCUGCCAGUGCUACUGGCAGCACGUGCCUGCACAGAUGGCAUAUCUGAGUGGGACAUCAUGACCUCUUCCUCAGUGAAAGAAUUAGUACGGUGCUUGAGGGUGGCAUAAUAGCCCCAGGCAUCAGUGACUCCUCCCCUUUCAGCACCACUCUACAUCUUAAGACCAUAAUUUGAUCCUUAGACUGCAACUCACAAAGUUGGACUGUGGUAUUUACAAGAGGAGUCAGACUCCAUACAACUCAAUAUAAGGACCUGGUUUUCUGAGAGUGUUAAGCACCUGCAUCUCCUGUCCUGAGAAUCAAUGCUAUAAAUUCUACUAACUGAAUUUUGUGCUCCUCCAUAUUUUGUAUAUGUAAUGCUAUCAGACCCCAUUUGGUGGCGGCUGGAUCAAACCUAGGACCUCUUGAAUUUAAUGCACGAGCUUCUACAGCCUGAGCUAAAAGGCAUGUCUCUCUUAGGCAAGGCUAUAGCAGGCUCAUCAACCUGUAGCAGGUUUAGCUGCCACUAGAGGGAGACAGAGUGCUACACCAAGCAGGCAUGUGUUACAGAUAGCUCUAAUCCAGGGGUGGGCAAACUACAGCCUGGGGACUGCAUCUCGCCCUCCAGAUGUUUUAAUCCAGCCCUCGAGCUCCCGCCGGGGAGUGGAGUCAGGGUCUUGCCCCACUCCACGCAGCUCCUGGAAGUAGCGGCAUGUCCCCUCUUUGGCUCCCUUGCGUAGGUGCAGCCUGGAGGCUCUGCACUAUGCCCCUACCCCAAGUGCUACCCCCACAGCUCCCAUUGGCCAGGAACCGCAGCCAAUGGGAGCUGCAGGGGCAUCGCCUGAGGACAGGGCAGCGUGCAGAGCCACUUGCCCAUGCCUACAUAUAGGAGCUGGAGGGGGGACAUGCUGCUUCUCUGGAAGCUGCUUGAAGUAAGCCCCACCCAGAGCCUGCACCCCUGACUCCCUCCUGCGCCACAACCCUCUUCCCCAGCCCUGUUCCCUCUCCCACCCUCUGAACCCCUCAAGUCCCAGCCCGGAGCACCCUUCUGCACCCCAACCCCUAAUUUUGUGAGCAUUCAUGCCCACCACGCAAUUUCCAUACCCAGAUGGGGCCCUCAGGCCAAAAAGUUUGCCCACUCUUGCUCUAAUCACACUAUCAGUUCUUAUCAAAAAGUAAAAGUAAGGGUUCAUUCUCCAUCAAGCAGUGAGCAAACAAAGGCCAAGGUCUCAGCUGAUGAUGCUCUUUUUCUCUCCCUCCGCAAAGUGUUUCAGAUUGGCAAAAAAGGGUCAAAUUAUUGAGCAGUGUGGAUGCAUUACAGACUUGCUUUAUUUUGCUCUGCAUAAUCAGUCCAUUAAAGGAACAAAACAAUGGAAGAUAUACCUUAACAUCAGAAGACCAUCUGUAUGCAUCACCUGUCAAACACGGCCUCCCCCCAUAAGAGCUAAGCAAAUAAAUGCUCCCUGCCCUUGGAGGACGCCUAUAUUCUCUUUGUAAAAAAACCGGCUGAAUAGUAAAGAGACAAUACCUUAUUCCCCUGGGCUGGGAAUGCUGGAGACAGGGAACAUAAGGAAUGGGUGGAGAAGUAGUAUUUUAUUAGUAUUCAUAUAGCACCUUAAGUUCACAUAGUGCUUUCAAGACAUGUAAAACCAUCAUGACUUUGCACCAAAAACUUACAAUCUAAGGGACCACCUGCAGUACAGAUUUUACUGUGUUUGUAGCCUAGUCACAGCAAGACUGGCUUUUGACAGGGUUUAGGUCCAAGCAACUCACCUUUCCUACAUGGACCAUCAGUGGCCUUAGGGGGUGGGCCACUCUGGCGAUCACUGAGGGUGCUGUGGUCAGGAGAGCACCGCACGGCAGCGCAGAGGUGCACGCUGCAGGUGUAGUGUCAGAAACUGUUCCCGGCUGGCAGGGGAGCACCACAAUCUCCUGGAGGCGACGCAUGGGGGAAG